CUGUACACUGGCAGAGUUCCAGCCUGCAAGAGGCUUGGGGGAGUGGAAGAAGGGUGAUCAGGCAGGGGACACCAUAUGCAUGUGUGCAUGGCCACCAGGCAGCCUGGAGAGCAGCUUCUGGAAGAAGGUUGACAUUGAGGAAGAAAUCCAACAUCUCCUCAAAUGUGGAAGUGCAGCUUUCAGAUGCCUGAGGAAAUGGGGUAUCAAAGAUCACGACAGAUUGAAAACCAAGCUCUAUCAGCUUUAUCAAGCAGUUGUGAUCCUCACCUCCUUGUAUGGAGAUGUGGACAACAUACAGGUGACACCUCAAGUUGCUGGAGAAGUACCAUCAGCGUUGCCUGUGGAAGAUCCUUUGAAUCCAGGGGGAAGACAGAUGCACCAGCAUUAGCAUCCUCUCACAAGUAAACACAAUGAGCAUUGAGGCAAUGAUCAUCUAACAUCAACUUCACUGGGCCAGCCACAUCAUCUGGAUGGCUGACUCCAGAUUCCCAAAGCAAGUUUUAUUCUCAAGAGGAGGGCAGAGAAAGCAUUUCAAGGCCAUCUUGAAAACAUGCACUAUCAGCAUCAACUUAUGAGAGACUGUCACCCAAGACCUCCUCAAACGGAGGAAGAGUCUGCUGCAAGAAUCUCAGUACAUUCAGACCUCCAUGACAACAACAGGAGAUAGAAAAGCAGGAGUGGCAGAAACAGUGUGUCACAGACUAGAUCAAGACUCCAGAGCCACCCACCCCACACAGAAACAAGUGUCCAAACUGCAAUAGAGCCAGGCGAUCCCAGAUUGUCCUUAUCUGUGGGUCUGAAGAUGGCUGACAAGACAAUCAUUCUCAACUACAAGGGACUGCCAGUGAUGAAACCUCUGCCUGGAGACCAGAAGGGGACGGGGGAAGAGCCUCUGUAAGGAAUGAGAGACAGCAGCUGCUGCAUUAGCAGGCAGGCUCAGCAGCCCGUGGGUCCCAGAACCCGGUGCGCUGAGACCCAGAUGCUGGGAACCACGGAGGGACACCUGUCAGGCAUGCCAGCUUCCUAGGGAAGUCUGAAUUCUCCAAGGAAGAAAGACUGCCGUUAAAGGGGUAGCACUUCUAUUUGUGUGUAUGUGUUGUGUUGAGCCCCAGGGGGGAAGACAAUUCUGUUGCUAAGCA
Long non-coding RNA from Alligator mississippiensis (American alligator), 1139 nucleotides. RefSeq lists it as uncharacterized. The record is from RefSeq and is a predicted model, not a curated record. The transcript is spliced from 2 exons. NCBI's taxonomy places the organism in Eukaryota, Metazoa, Chordata, Crocodylia, Alligatoridae.